Molecule: long non-coding RNA, 569 nt
Filed under: Olea europaea subsp. europaea
Lineage: Eukaryota; Viridiplantae; Streptophyta; Magnoliopsida; Lamiales; Oleaceae
Source: RNAcentral
CUGGGAUAAAAAAAGGCGCUGAAAAUAUGCCCAAAAAGGAGAUGGCGAUUGGAUUUGGGAGUCUCUUCUCCAAGUAAAAAAUUUACAGCUGUUUGAGGAAAAAAUAAAGGGCUGCAUGGGGUUUGGAAUCACAUAUAUAUACAUGCAAAAGGUGGCCGGCCCGGCUGUUGAAUUGAUAUAUACGCACAUUAGGCGGCAGAAGCGGCUGGAGAAAAAGAAAUUCAGCAACUGGUGGGGAAGUAUUGGAGAAGAAAGAGGCAGCCAAGUGUUCUUUUCAAAAAACGCAUAGAGAGGCGGCUGAAUUUGGGGGUUUCCAUAUUAUAUAUUGAUAAUUUCCCACGCAACAAUAAAGGAGAAGAGAAAACGAGCUGCCUGCUGAAAUUUUAUUCGUACCAGAACCGGAGCCAACCUGGUGGAAUUAGACACACAUUGGGUGGCUACAGAAGGAAAAAAGGCAGAUUCAAUUUGUCAACUUCAAUCACGUUCCAUCAAAGUUUGGUGAUGUCUUUUAACUUUCGCGUUUCUAAUUUCGACAAUAUGCUCAGCUAAACCUUUUUAGUAUUGCUAGG